RNAcentral lists this long non-coding RNA (1418 nucleotides) under Homo sapiens (human). RNAcentral describes it as "long independently transcribed non-coding RNA 2603, transcript variant 3 (LINC02603)". Lineage: Eukaryota; Metazoa; Chordata; Mammalia; Primates; Hominidae. The record is from RNAcentral.
ACGCGAGCCGGACUGCCCCUGGGCACGGAACUACACUACCCAGACUGCCACGGGGCGCGCAACUACCCUACCGUGGAUGCCCUGGAGCGAGGGACUACAACAUCCAGAAUGCUGCGAGGGGCGGGACCGCAGCAUCCAGGAGAAAUUGUGAAAAAUCAGAAAGUAAAAUCUAACUUUCGGGUCUAUGAGAAGGGUGGUCAGAUGGUGGAUUGGAAACAGUGUCAGCAUGACUCUCCCACUUGGAAAGACAAAAUGGGCUUAAUUAUUAGAUAAGGAUACGUUUCCAACUGAAGGUGGCAACGUUAUGCUGGAAGAACAUGUCAGGAAGACCACAAAAUUUCAUGACUGUACUUGCUACACUUUCAGCAGAAGAGUUAUACAUAUUUUCAAUUCAACAAAGAUUAAGCCAAAAAGAAUUCUUAGAACAUUCCCACUCUUCUUUGGCACAUCAAAAGGCAACAAAUGUCAUUUUCUCCCAUGUUUUUAUGUGCAGUUUAGAACAAAGACCAAUUAUCUAUGCAGCUGUCCACAGUGGAUAAAACAAAAAGCAUACAUUUGGUCCAGAGUUAAGUCACCUGGGUUGGGCCCAUCCAAGGAAGUUUGAUGUUUCUACUCUCAUGAAAAGUACCAAUGGCACUGCACAGUGAUUAUCUUAGAUAUUAAGGAUAAACACAAAUUUCUCCUUAAAUUUCCAUUUAUUGGAAAUGAUUGGAGGGAGGGAACUUCUCCCUCACCUCCACACUGCCUCUUUUCCAACUCUUCUUCCAACACAAAAUAGUUUAAACAGCAAGCACUUAGAGAGCUUUUAGCCUUGCUUGUUGAUUACAAGGCCCAAGUUAGUGUAUGGUUUGCCCAUCGGAGGAAAGCUAAAACAUGGGCCUUCAUGGGUAUUAAAAUUGAAGAAACCUUUUCCAGCAUUUUUUCUAUUUUCUUUAAAGUAACAACCUAUGGACUUCCCCAUCUGACAUUUUCGAGUGAUCCCACUGUGUGAAUGAAGGACUACUUCAGGGUUUGAGGGCAAAGCUGAAAUCUUAGCAACUUACCAGUGAGCAAAGGUAGAACCCAGAGCCCAUCUCUCCUUUUCCAGGCUGCUGAGUAAAGUCUGGCUCAAUCAACCUAUCAAUGAAGCAGUGCUUACAACAUUCUCCAAGACCACCCAAAACCCAAACUGGAAAUGAAUCAUGACUAAUCUGACUCAUUUUGGCUCACACAGUGCCCUUCCAAUUUGUAUUUACCUUUACCACCCAGGACCUGACCUUGGACAUGUGUACCAGGAUGUAAGGCAAUAAACCUAUUCACAAUUCCAAAAGGGCCUGGUCCUCUAUGAAGAUUUCCUGAAGGCUACUUACUUUCUCUACUCAUUAAAAUUUUUGCUUAACUUCAAAUUUCUGAAAUAUACCAUAUGUGAAAAAUUUAAA